This 235-nucleotide long non-coding RNA is filed under the name Columba livia (rock pigeon). RNAcentral's name for it is "partial uncharacterized LOC102090617". Lineage: Eukaryota; Metazoa; Chordata; Aves; Columbiformes; Columbidae. The record is from RNAcentral.
AGCAUUUCUCAUAACUACUGGAGAGGCUCAGAGGAACAAGAUAUGAACUUCCCUCUCACACUCCCUGUUUAAAUUAACUUGGACGAGUUGAUCAGAAGCCUCUGCUAUGGAGGAGAAGUGAGGUCCUGGCAGGCAGCCCUGGGCCAUUAAAAGCUUCUGUUUGAGGUUGCCGACGCUUGUCUGUCCCCCCAUGGCCACAGAAAACAGGUUAUUCCCUUCUUACUGUGCAACAGCC